Carassius gibelio (silver crucian carp) is the source of this 461-nucleotide long non-coding RNA. RefSeq lists it as uncharacterized. NCBI's taxonomy places the organism in Eukaryota, Metazoa, Chordata, Actinopteri, Cypriniformes, Cyprinidae. The record is from RefSeq and is a predicted model, not a curated record. The transcript has 3 exons.
UCAUGUUGGCUUUGGCACAUUCCUUCUCUGUGGUGGUAGCUACAAAGCUAUAGCGAGUACUGAGUGCUCAGGCAGUAAUUUAUUAAUUUGGUGAGUAAAUUAUCAUUCAAUUCAAAUUUUAAAGUGGACUAAUUCUUUAACUGUAUAUUUUGUUCAGGAAAAGCAAACCAAGAUCAAAGAGACAGCCAAGAACCAGAUGCUUCAAAACCUGAAGGUUUCCCUUUCCAAAAAUAAGAACAAAAACACACAAGAUCAGCAUAAUAGUGAGGCAACUGAGGAGGAAUUUCCACAACAACUUUAUUGUCAAGCAAAGACUUUAAAGGCUGCCAGACCCAAAUCAUCCACUCCUGAUGAUUACACCAGUUCAGAUGAUGAUGCCACAGUCAUACGGAGUCCAAACCAACCUGACAUUGGUAGUGAUAUGGAUGAAGGAUUACCCGCAAUGCAGCACAAUGUAAAUG